This 511-nucleotide ribosomal RNA is filed under the name Austrothelphusa sp. ww23283. RNAcentral's name for it is "partial large subunit ribosomal RNA". It matches the Rfam family "Bacterial large subunit ribosomal RNA", at positions 1831 to 2595 of the family's 2925-position model. Lineage: Eukaryota; Metazoa; Arthropoda; Malacostraca; Decapoda; Parathelphusidae. The record is from RNAcentral. RNAcentral also lists the same sequence under 1 other name.
GUCUAUUUGGAGAUAAAAAUAGUCUGGCCUGCCCACUGAUUAAUUGAUUAAAGGGCCGCAGUAUUAUGACUGUGCAAAGGUAGCAUAAUCAUUAGGUUUUUAAAUGGAAUCUUGUAUGAAUGGUCGGACAAAGGAGAAACUGUCUCAAGCUUAAUUUUGAAUUUUACUUUUAAGUGAGAAGGCUUAGAUUUUUUAGAGGGACGAUAAGACCCUAUAAAGCUUUACAUAUAGGUUAUAUUUAGUUGAAUUUAGGAACUAAAAGUUUAAUAUAACUGUAUGUUUUGUUGGGGCAACAGGGGCAGAAUUAAUUGUAGCUGCUUAAAAAGUGAACAGUUAUAUGUGAAAACUAAUUGAUCCUAAUUAUAGAUUAGAAGUUUAAGUUACUUUAGGGAUAACAGUAUAAUUCUUUUUGAGAGUUCAUAUCGAAAAAAGAGUUUGUAACCUCGAUGUUGAAUUAAAAUAUCUUUAUAAUGUAGCUGUUAUAAGAGAGGGUCUGUUCGACCUUUAAUUU